AGGGAUGAGGCUCCGUUGGUGGAGUGCUUGCCUAGCAUGCAUGAAGCUCAGGGUUCCAUUCCCUGCAUUGCAU
This is a non-coding RNA of Mesocricetus auratus (golden hamster), 73 nucleotides long. The record is from Rfam. Lineage: Eukaryota; Metazoa; Chordata; Mammalia; Rodentia; Cricetidae.